AAUUGCAAAAUUAUUCGAUAAAGCUUCAAUGCAUAAUCACGAACGGCACACGAGGAAUCAUCGAAUCUUCUGAUUCUGGAUUGAUUCAGGAUUGUGGAAAAAAUUUCUGUAAAUGAUGAAUAACUACCAGAAUUCGCCCACUGAUUCUCAAAACGGGGGUAAACCUGAAAAAAAUUAUGAUUAAUCUACUCGUCGUAUGCGCAAUCCAGUGAGAGGCCAACAUGAGAAUGAGUGACGUUAAGCAACGACUGCUGGUCCAUCAACGGAAAUUACGAAUGCAGAGGACCAUACUUCUUGGUGUAAUUACAACUGUGGGCUUUGGAAUUGCCCGUGGUUACUCCGAUUUUUAUCAGCAGUUCAAUAAUUACACGAACUCCUUUAAAUAUCGCGAGAGUCGUGAGGCACUGAGCGAGCGCAUUGUCAUUCGGAGGAAAAAAUCCGGUGGUUCAACUCACUGAAAAAAAAAAAAACAUAAACCAUACAGAUGGAGAUCUCACGUAACGGCAGUGGGACAUACCUCCAACCCCUCCAGGCCACUUCACUCCGGAAGUUUUCCUCGAAUCAAACGGUGAUUCUCAUCAUUCUCGUAUAUUCAUCCUCAACAUCUGGAAUAAUCAGAAGAUAUCUAUGGGUUCAUAACCGGGGCAAAUUCACUGGUGAAAACCGCCAAAUUGUUGUGGGUACAGCAAUCGCAAGCAUCUGAGUCCUUCCCCAUUCCCGCCGUUCGCAAGAUUAAGACAACAGUCCGAACCCAAGAUAAUAAAAAAAGGACAAACAAUACACAACAAAAAAAUGUUUGAAUUAUUUUUCCGUCGAUUCUAUCGGAAUGCUCAAUUGACCAUAUCCUGCAAAAAAAAAUUUUCUCAAUUCAAAUUCUACCGAAUAUUUUCUAACAUGUGGAUAAAACGGAGGAAAAGAUAAUAAAUUCCCAGGCAAUGAAAUUCUCCCGUACAUGAAUUUCUGCAACGACAACAAUUUCUGCUGUUACUGAAUCAACCCAGGAAUUUAUGAUCUGGAUUACGAGUGUAGGAACGUAAAAGCAUUAAAGCAGCCUCCAACAGCUAAAAAAGGUUCCCAUCUGCAUGAAUAAAAAUACCAACGGUGGAGUGAAGUGGCCAGAAAAUGUACCUUGACCGUUUGAUACACGUAAUUAUCGUAACGCCAGAAGUGGCCCCCAAGGUGCCACUGUAUUUGAUGCAACAUGUUACACGGUUGUUGAGCACCAAUAAAAAGUUAACAAUGACAAGGCAAAGGAGAGCCCAUCGCAUUUAGUCCCACCACCUGACGUUGACGCAUGAGUGACUCACACCCAGUGUCCAGGAAAGCGAUGAUGAGGCCUUGGAGUUUCACUUUCAUCACAUCCUGAGGGAGAAGUAGACAAAAAAAAAAAAAAAAGAAUCGCGUGGAGAGGUGACUUUUAGCCUUCACCCACAUGCUCGUCCUGUCCGGUGGCUGGACUUGUUCCUCAUCAACCGGUGGAUUCCAACUUUUUGUUUUAUUAUCGACGAGAAUAAUCUGAAAAUCCUGCACGCACGAGCAGCGCUCGGAGCCUAUAUGGCCUCGGGGAUUCCAUGGAUAUUCCUUGUGAAGGUGAAACAUCGGAGUAGACCUUAGCCCACAUGAGCCAUCGUGGAUGACCGCUUCUCCGAGAUGGAGAUGUCCAGGGGAUUGCGAUUUCAUCGAACCUAUCGGGGCCUCUCGGCCUCUCGCAACCUGGCUUUUCAAGAUUCACGGAGUUUCUCCAGUUUUUUGAGAAUAUCUUCGAAUCUGGAGGAGCUACCGUCAUCCUGGUUAAGACCUCUUCUGCAGAGGACAAUACGAGCCAUAAAAAAGGUCUUCAUAAAAAUUUUGCUGUCACUCUCACAUUUCAAGAUAUUCAUCGAAAUGGUAUCUAUUGUCUAAUCGACUUGUUGCCUUUAAUCUUUUCGCUAUUGAAUUGAUUGAUUCACACUCGGUGCGUCCCGUGAAAGGCCCAUUAUAAAUUUUAUUGUUUUGUCGAUGAGAAAUAUGAUUGUUCGAGAAAAAAAAAAUCAUAAAAACAACUCAUCAGUUUCCAGGGGAUUAUUCCCAUAGAUUUUUCUUCAGCCUGUGUUUUUCAUGGAACUGUUGAUGCUGGAGAGCACUUAAGACCUGACCUAGAAUAAUAUUUGUCCUCUCCAACCAGUUAUGAGUCCCCUCGAAACAAAUAAAAGUUGUUUAUAACAUAAUCGCAACGUCACCGUCAUUCUCGUACCGGUCAGGUUCAAUGCUCGUUUCGCCCACUGGACAAUCGAUUAGUCGGUUCACUUUAUCGGUAUUGCUACAUCCCAGAGUGCAAGGCCAAAGAUUCCGCGAGAAUUCCAGCGGAAAUUACCCUGAAUCCUCAGACAACCACUUGAGGAAAAACAUUUACAGCAUUCGUCGUUUAGAUAUCAUUGUCAGCAGAACAAAA
This is a long non-coding RNA of Fopius arisanus, 2431 nucleotides long. RefSeq lists it as uncharacterized. The record is from RefSeq and is a predicted model, not a curated record. The transcript has 8 exons. Lineage: Eukaryota; Metazoa; Arthropoda; Insecta; Hymenoptera; Braconidae.